AACUAAGUGGUGGAUUACACGUUAAACUGCAAAUUUAAAGGCGCGAAAGCCUUAGUUA
RNAcentral lists this transfer RNA (58 nucleotides) under Pseudoniphargus sp. 1-Basque. Its description in RNAcentral is "tRNA-Cys". The record is from RNAcentral. Lineage: Eukaryota; Metazoa; Arthropoda; Malacostraca; Amphipoda; Allocrangonyctidae.